CCUACGGGGGGCAGCAGUGGGGAAUAUUGGACAAUGGGCGAAAGCCUGAUCCAGCCAUGCCGCGUGUGUGAAGAAGGCCUUCGGGUUGUAAAGCACUUUCAGUGGGGAAGAAAGCCUUGGGGCUAAUACCCUCGAGGAAGGACAUCACCCACAGAAGAAGCACCGGCUAACUCCGUGCCAGCAGCCGCGGUAAUACGGAGGGUGCGAGCGUUAAUCGGAAUUACUGGGCGUAAAGCGCGCGUAGGCGGUCUGAUAAGCCGGUUGUGAAAGCCCCGGGCUCAACCUGGGAACGGCAUCCGGAACUGUCAGGCUAGAGUGCAGGAGAGGAAGGUAGAAUUCCCGGUGUAGCGGUGAAAUGCGUAGAGAUCGGGAGGAAUACCAGUGGCGAAGGCGGUCUUCUGGACUGACACUGACGCUGAGGUGCGAAAGCGUGGGUAGCAAACAGGAUUAGAUACCCCAGUAGUC
This 465-nucleotide ribosomal RNA is filed under the name Vreelandella stevensii. RNAcentral describes it as "partial 16S ribosomal RNA". It matches the Rfam family "Bacterial small subunit ribosomal RNA", at positions 338 to 795 of the family's 1533-position model. The record is from RNAcentral. Lineage: Bacteria; Pseudomonadati; Pseudomonadota; Gammaproteobacteria; Oceanospirillales; Halomonadaceae.